CAUCGCCUCCUGCAACUAAACUGAGUAUAGGAGGUCCAGCCUGCCCAGUGACUACGGGUUCAACGGCCGCGGUAUUUUGACCGUGCAAAGGUAGCGCAAUCACUUGUCUCUUAAAUAGAGACCUGUAUGAAUGGCUAGACGAGGGCUUAACUGUCUCCCCUAUCAAGUCAGUGAAAUUGAUCUAUCCGUGCAGAAGCGGGUAUGACUAUACAAGACGAGAAGACCCUUUGGAGCUUAAGGUACAAAUUUACCCACGUUAAACAACUCCAUAAAAAGUAAGAACUUAGUGGCAGAUAAAAUUUUACCUUCGGUUGGGGCGACCGCGGAGGAAAAACAAGCCUCCGAGUGGACUGGGCCAAACCCCUAAAGCUAAUAGAGACAUUUAUAAGCCGCAGAAUAUCUGACCAAAAAUGAUCCGACCACAGUGAUCGAUCAACGAACCAAGUUACCCUAGGGAUAACAGCGCAAUCCCCUCCCAGAGUCCAUAUCGACGAGGGGGUUUACGACCUCGAUGUUGGAUCAGGACAUCCUAAUGGUGCAGCCGCUAUUAAGGGUUCGUUUGUUCAACGAUUAAAGUCCUACGUGA
RNAcentral lists this ribosomal RNA (586 nucleotides) under Ptychocheilus oregonensis (northern pikeminnow). RNAcentral describes it as "partial 16S ribosomal RNA". It matches the Rfam family "Bacterial large subunit ribosomal RNA", at positions 1814 to 2603 of the family's 2925-position model. The record is from RNAcentral. Lineage: Eukaryota; Metazoa; Chordata; Actinopteri; Cypriniformes; Leuciscidae.